This 70-nucleotide transfer RNA is filed under the name Camelus bactrianus (Bactrian camel). It matches the Rfam family "tRNA". From Rfam's summary of the family: Transfer RNA (tRNA) molecules are approximately 80 nucleotides in length. Their secondary structure includes four short double-helical elements and three loops (D, anti-codon, and T loops). Further hydrogen bonds mediate the characteristic L-shaped molecular structure. tRNAs have two regions of fundamental functional importance: the anti-codon, which is responsible for specific mRNA codon recognition, and the 3' end, to which the tRNAs corresponding amino acid is attached (by aminoacyl-tRNA synthetases). tRNAs cope with the degeneracy of the genetic code in two manners: having more than one tRNA (with a specific anti-codon) for a particular amino acid; and 'wobble' base-pairing, i.e. permitting non-standard base-pairing at the 3rd anti-codon position. RNAcentral also lists the same sequence under 2 other names. The record is from Rfam by way of RNAcentral. Lineage: Eukaryota; Metazoa; Chordata; Mammalia; Artiodactyla; Camelidae.
GUGGGUAUAGCUCAGUGGUAGAGCACAUGCUUGGUGGGCAAGGUCCUGGCUUCAAUCCCCAGUACCUCUG